RNAcentral lists this long non-coding RNA (827 nucleotides) under Equus caballus (horse). RNAcentral's name for it is "lncRNA (ENSECAG00000047937.1)". Lineage: Eukaryota; Metazoa; Chordata; Mammalia; Perissodactyla; Equidae. The record is from RNAcentral.
AAAAAGAUUGGCAGCAGUUGUUAGCCCAGGUGCCAAUCUUUGAAAAAAAAAAGGAAGAUUGGCAGCAGUUGUUAGCCCAGGUGCCAAUCUUUAAAGAAAAAAAAAAAGACUAUGCAGCUACCCUUUAGGGGUUGUGAAAACAAUGUAGUGAAUUGAACCAGCAUUUUAAAAAACGAAACAGGAUAGAAUAGAAAAUACCAGUGACUGUCGAGUGGUAAGGAGGUGACUGUUUUUGUUCGUUCUGUGUUUGCCGUGAAGAUCAUGUCAUUCUGAUCACAACGUUUUGACUUUUGUCAAGAGAACCAAAUGAGAGGAAGGACAGGUCUCCAAGAAAUACGGCAUGGAUCAGGUCUUCCACUCCUACGCCCCUCCCCACCUUGCAUCGGUUCCUUGGUUCCUUUACCUGCGUUCUGCCCCUAUCAGAAAGGACCACCGACCCUGGAAAGCUUUGAUCCUGGAACCUGUCAAGGUUGUUGUCUGAUCAAAACUCUACUGGCCAUUAAUCGAAAGGUGAAGAGUAGUUCUUCAUUGUCAUUGAAGUCCAAACGUGAGGAAAUGGGCUUAAAACACAAAGGAUGACAAAAAUGUGUUAGAACUAGAGGCGGUGGUUGUGCAACAUUGUAAUUGGACUAAAUACCACCGAAUUGUUCACUUUAAACUGGUUAAUUUUAUGUUAUGUGAAUUUCACAUCAAUAAAAAAAAGUACAAAUGGAACCAUUUAUGUGUGAAGCCCCUUUUUCUUUUUUUAAAGAUUUUUUCCCUUUUUCUCCCCAAAUCUCCCCAGUACAUAGUUGUGUAUUUUUAGUUGUGGGUCCUUCUAGUUGUGG